AAGUAAAUGGUCCCAACAGCCAACAUUUCGCUGUCUAAAUUUAAAAAAUUGACCUUACUUAUUAAUGUGCAUAUCCACUACUUGCUAUUCUGUUUUCCUUAUCUUGUUCUUCUUCUUGUAGGACACAAAUGACAAAAUUAUAUAUAAAUCAUUCUGCUUCGGUAGCCACAAGGGUAUUCCCAUUGAAGCACCACAAAUAUGCCUUCUAUUUGAGUGUUGGAAAUGUCACAGUUCAUCUGCCUAUUGGAAGAACAAAGGUAGAUUUUCAAGUAUUGAAGAGCAAAUACUAGAAAAGUGGUUUGAAGGCACUCACAUAUGUGGAUUGUGGAGUAUGAAUUUGCUUCCAUGAUAGUGGCCAAAAACUUUGUGGUCACUGUUCUGAUUAGUACACAAUGCAAUUAUGAAUUCCAAGAUCAAUCACGUAGCAUUCUUCAUUGACGUCGGCGUUGUAUGAGCAAGGCUAGGCCAGAAGAGCACGGUGAGGUCCAAUCGUCAUUCGUAAGGAGUAUCAUUUGGGUAAAUAGGAGGCAAUAAAUAUCUUCAUGCCCACUACGUUUGCUAAAUCCGAGAGUCCGAGCUAGUGCCAUAACAAUCAAUGUUAUGUUAUGUGCACUGAUAUUAUAUAGCAGUAGAAUAAAUUUCUUUCCGUUUCGCAUUACUGACAUAAUUGUGUGAAAUUUCUUUUCGUUUUACAAAUUGACAGGCUUAAAGUUUGUGAAAAAAAAAUAUAAGAUUUAGACCCAUUUAUUUGUGAACAAGAAAAAAGAUCUCACAUAAUUGUGUCAGUUAUGUGAAGCAUAAAAUAAACUUAUUACAAUAGUAAUGUCUUUACACUAGUUUCUUAUGUUAAUCAUAAAAAGUUAUUUUUAAAAUUUUGAGUUAUUUUUAAAAUUUUGACACACUUACUAAAAAGUAGGAAACUUAUGUGACAAUCUAGUGUGAAAAUUAUCAUCGCCUUGGAAUUUGGGUAGCUAAAUAAAAAUGAACCAGUUUAUGUUGCAAGCUUUACCAGUCCUGUCAAUCAAGAGGUGUGGCGAGAUAGGUACGUUCACUCAAUUCUUAACUAGUUAUCUUGAACUUGAACCAUUAGAAUAUCUUCUGGUAGGAAUCAUUCUUACUUUAAUAUGAGUCAUAUACGAUGCAAAUCUGGUUUAAUAGUAAAUUUAUGAGUUUGUAGUGGAUCCAACUAGCAGUAUUUGAGACAAAUUUAGGAGCCGAGUAACUUAUGUCAAAUUCAGACGUGGAAAGGGAUAGUCAAUGUCCUAUCUCCUUUUCACAAAACAAAAAGCAAAAUAAAAUAAAAUAGUUGGCUUUAGUUUGAAGUGAAGGGAGUAAGAAAAGGAUUUUCUUGAUUGAGAAAGAAAACUAUUAGGGGUUGUUUGGUGCAUGGUAUAGACUGAAAUAUCCUAAGGGUGGAUAUUAUACCUUAUUAAGAUGGGAUAAAAUAAUCCCAAGAAGUGAAAUAAAUUAGUCUCAAAAUUAUAAUUCCGGAUAUAAUUUUGACACCACUUAUUAAAAAAAAAAGUUGGAGAAAACAAAGAUAGAUGGUGGGUCCCAAAUAGUUCCCAACUUUUAAGUGCCUAGAUUCAUUAUUGAUAAUAUUUCAUAUGUGGUCCAAUCAACAAAAUCGACUGUUAAGUAAAGGUCCAAAGUCUUGUCUUAGCAAUGUUGUAUUCAUUGUCUUUAUUCCUUUAAAAUUUACGUGUCAAAUUUGUUCAACACUCUUUCUUGGUAUAUUACUAGGUGAUAGUGAUUGUAUAGGUGGACUAGUGGAUCUAUAAUGCAUUAUCUAUAAGGUGUUCAAGGCAAUAUAUAAUAUCACACAAUUAAGUAGAUCUUCAUUAUUAGGUGUUUGCCCUAAUUGUUUUUUUAUCAUAUUUUGAUCUUCAUUUUACUUGAAGGAAGGACAAAAUAUUUACUAUAAUUAAUUUAAUUUAUUCUAAAAGAAAAAUAUAAGGUUCUUCAUAUUUGGAUUAUUUUUCUUUUUGGAGAAAAAUAUUUUCCACUAUAAAUUGAGGAUUUUGUUCUCUCACUUUACAAUAUUUGUAAUGUAGUCCUUUAGUACUGGAGAGUCUUGUUUUGAGGGAGAAUUUUUUCCUAUAUUUCUGUACCUUUUUUAUAUUAGUGAAUUGUUCAUAUGUAGGUCAAUUGAUCAAAAUUAUAUAAAAAAUUCAUGAGGUCUCUUUUGGUAUAUUUUUCUUUACCAUCUUAUUUAUCAUCGUCUAAACUUUGUUAGCUCCCGCAUGACACUUGGCGAUUUCGAUCACAACAUCCAAACAACAAUAACAACAUACCUCGUGUAAACCCACAAGUGGGGGAUCACGACAUCCAUCUCAUAUAAUUUAUGGGUUUGGAUAGUUUCAAAUUUAUAUAUAGAGAGAUUUUAAAAUACUUUAUAUUUAUAUUUAGAUUAACACUAUUUAUCUAUAUUAAUAUAAUAUAUCAUACUCAUCAUAGUAGAAUUCCACAUCCACUGACCUUACUGCUGAGUUGGCUUUUGGGGUACGGUCCAGCACAUGUGGAUGAUUCAGCAAUAAUGUAAAGGUCUCAACAGCAAUUAAGUUGACCCUUAGCUGAUAUAGAUACCUAAAAUUAUUCUACUACUACUACUUCUAAAAACCAAUAUAAUGGCAAAAGGUAUAAAUACACAAUCUUGAAAUACUCUCUUGAAGCCCUGAUAAAAAAGCCUUCUAUUUUUUCGCUAUACUAUGGAACUCUCAAGUGUAUUUCCAUUUUGGAGAAAAAAGGAAUGAUUUCACCAAGAGAAUGGAGUUCAUUAAUUAUGGAGGUGAAUCUGGUAUGCAUUUCAUGAAUGGAUUCACCAUCCUUCAUCUUAAAGAGUUCGUACUCAGUGAUUAGCAUAACGAGAUGCGAUUGUACUCAUCAGCUCCAAUACCACACACAAGGAUUUUCUUGGCUCUGCAGUUCAUUUCAACAGCCUUCCGGUUAGUCUCAUUGUUAUAUCCCGUAUUUUAUACAUUCGGAUAUUUCUAGGUGGUCGUGGUAAGUUAAAGGCAAGACUAUCUUCCAAAAUUAUUUUAAUGUACAAGUUGUUAUGAAUAUUAUUUAUGAAUAUUAUUAGUGCGAAAAUAUUGAGAAAGGCUAAGGGUAAAAAGGGAAAUUCACAAAAUGGUUCAUGGUAAAAUUGUGGAAGGUUAUGGGCAAAAUGGGAAUUUCACCCAAAAUUCAAGAAAAUUCUUGAAUAGCCCAUUUUGGCCAUGUGGCCGUCCAAGCCAAGGUGGGCUUGUCCCACAUGGGUGAAUUAUAUGUAUGUAUAUAUAUAUGACAUAUUAGUCAUAUUUCACACACCAAAUUCUAGAACUUUGAAGAAAAAGAAAAGGAGAAGAAGAAAGAAGAGCAAGGGUCGGCCAUGGCUCCCAAAAUUUAGCCAUGGAAAAUUGACCAAGAAAAAUUAUUUUCUUCUAGCUUCUCUACCAAUUUGAACGCCCUUAACAACAUGGAGUGGUUGUUAGAACAAGCAAAGUAUUCAUUUGGGCAACUUAUAAGUCUAGCCGAAUGAAGGAGCUAAGUGAAAAGGUAUGUGUUCAACUCUCUUUUACUUGUGUUAUGGAUGAUUUAUGUAUGUUGGAGUGUGUAAAAAGGGAUUAAAUUCAUGAAAUAUGUGUGUAUAGGUGUUGGCCGAAUGGAAGUGGUGCGGUAUAGAAGUGAUGAAUUAAUUUUAUUUAGUGGUUUGAUUGUUGUGUUGUGGAUUCCAUGAUGUAAAAUGAAUGAAAACCAUGAAUUUAGUGUGUUGGAGUGGUGGUCGUGUGGUGUGAAGCUUGGCCGUGUGUGUGUGUUGUGUUGUAUAGGAUGAUGAAUUAAUUUUGUCUAGUAUUUUUGAUUGAUGUGGUAAUGAAUUCUAUAAUGAAAAUGAAAGUUUAAUGAUUUUAGUGAAGUUCAUAAAUUUGGAAGAAAGUAAUGUGUGGUUGUCUUUGAUGGUGUUGUGAGAUUUCGGGUGGAAGUGUGCAUUAAUUGGGUUGUUUGAAUAUUGUGUGAAUUGAUUAAAGUGUUCUCGAAUCAUGUAGAAUGUAUUUUGGAAAUAAUUGUUGAAGUUGGAGAUAUGAUUGUUGGUAUUAUUGUUGAUACUUUGGCCGAGUUGAAUUCUCGGGUUUGUUGUUGUUAAAAUUGGCCGAGUUAGAUUCUCGGGGAUGGUGUAUUUACAGGGGAAAUGCUGCCAAAAUUUCGGUAGAUUAUAAAGUGAAUUUAUGUGAGAAACUAAGGCAAGUGUAUGACGACGAAUCUAACGAUUAUGUGAAUUCUUUUGAAUGUAGACUAGCAAGCUUGGAUAAGUAAGCGUAGCUAAUAGGACGUGGAGCAGGUAUGUAAGGCUUGCCCUUUCUUUCUUUUGGCAUGAUCUUUGUGGAACCAACAUGACAAAGUAUAUGUAUGAUUUCAAAGAAACUCCCAUUCUUAGAGCCACUAGGAUGGCUAACGUUCUUGAUUUCCAUAAGCUGUUUCGUAUGGUUCUGAUGUUUACCCAUGAUGUCCGAAGUCCCGUUUGAUAUGUUUCCGAAUGAUAUUCGAAGGAUAAUUAAUAUGACUAAAGUUUUGAUUUCAAAUGAAAAUACGUUUGAUUAUUCCAUUAAGUCUUUGAUAUAUUUUGAUACAUAUAUAUAUGACUCCAAAGGCCCUAUUUGAUUCGAUCCAUAACGAUAUCCGAAAGGUACUUGACAUGAUUAUGACCUUGAUUUUCCAAAUGUCUUCGGAAACACUUAUAGAACGUUCUGUACUUCAAACGCUCGUAACUUUCUCAUACUAAGUCAGAUUGACCCGAAACUCGUUUCUGAGCUCUCAGAGGUCGGUAAGUAUACUUAUCCAUCGAGUCUGGAUUUAUGUGCAUUUAGUUUCUCACUACUCUGCUCGUGCAUGUGUCAUUACUUCUUUCGCCGAGUCCCGGGCCGGUAUACAUCGUGCGUAUGGUUCGCCGGGUCCCCGCUUGAGGGUCGGGUGCCAUAUAUGUAUUCCGGAGUUAGAUGUGUUACGGUGUUAUGAUGUGUUUAAGGUUCGCCGAACCAUAUAUGAUGUGAUAUAUGAUGUGAUAUUAUGAUGUGAUAUUACGAUGUGUGACGGAGAUUACGGAGCAAAACUUCUGGAGUUAGAUGUGUGUGGCGCCAAAGGCAGGGUGGCGCCACGUUUCCCCGGGUCUCGUAAGGGACCGAAUACCGUUCUUGGCAUGCAUGGUUUGUGUUUCCAGUAAGUGUUUUAUUACCUUGCAUAUCGUGUUUACUUUCUGUUCUAAUCUUCUGCACUAUUUAUCCUGCUUGUGAUUCUGUUCAUAUUACUCUAUGCUUUACAUGCUCAAUACAUAUUUCGUACUGACCCCCUUUCUUCGGGGGCUGCGUUUCAUGCCACGAAGGUACACCCAGAUGAUGUAGAAGGCCUUGCUAGGAGGUGUUUCAGCGAGAUUGGCGAACUCCACUUCUUUCCGGAGUGUUGCCGGGUCAGAGCGUAUAUAAGCUGUGAUUUCUGAUUGUGUUAGAGACUUUGCAGACAGAGUCGUGGGUACAGAACAUCAGUUUUGUAAGCGGCUUCAUCAGCUGAUGUGACAUUUUGUGAUAUGUUACAGAUUUUACAUGAUUACAGAUUUUGGUUUGAUUUGAGAACGAUAGAAAGAAAGUUUCUGAAAACCUUACUUUGUGUUUUACGAUUAUCUGAUUUGAAAGUUUGAAAAGAGUAUGUAUGUGUUGACACCCAAUUUUGUCCCUCCUUUAUUCUAAUUUUUUUCUUCGGGCUUCUAAAUUUAUUGACACGCUAAACACUUUCUUUUCACUAUUAUUAAUUUUCACUAUUUUACCAUCAACAUUACUAGCGUUACUUUAUCACAAUUUUCAAAAUAGUUUGUCAUCAUUUUAUUUUUAGAUUUUGUACUCAUUAAAUUUAUUAUACUUUAUCAAGUCCUUUAUUUUCUACAGAUUAAUCACUAAUUAUCAUAGUACUAGUUAUUAAAUUAGAAGCCCAAGAAAUAAUUAAUAAAGGAGGAAGAAUCAACAAUUUUUAGUCAAAUUAUUAGCCCACACUUUAAUUAAUUAGACCAGCCCAUUACACCAUCCAUUCUACUCGACCAGCCCACCAGUCGACCCAGCCCAACGCCUUACUCUACCCGACCCAGCCCAAUCAACAUUUCAUCUUCUAAACAAAAGAAAACCUAAUGGCAGCCGCAGCUCUCUUCUCUCUCGUUUCUCUCUACUCUCUCUCCCCUCCAUGUUUAGCAAGAACCAUUUCCCCUUUCAACCAUGGCAGAUUGCCACCCCAUUUUCGUGUAAUACUCUGCCGUCCUCUCGUCUCUCUCACCUCCCCUUUUCUCUCACCUCCAUUUCCAGUAAAAAACCAAAACGACUUUAGCCGCGAACAGCCCCUGUCUUUCCUUUUCCACGCAAAUUUUGUCUGAAAUGGAAAAGGUUUCACAUUUUCGUUUCAAGAUGCAACAAAUCUUCAAAAGACAGAAUGGUCGAACCAUUUUCGGAAAUACCGAAGCAAAUCACGUGAAUCAAGCCCCAACGUUCUGAUUUUGAAACAAAUUUGACUUAAAAUCCCGCCCAAUUCAAAAUCGAAACCCUAACCUUCUCCUAUAUAUACAUCGUUAUGUCCUCAGCCGAAAAAAAGAAAAGGGAACGAAUCCCUACUCUCUGAUCUUUUCUUAUUAUCGGGUUCGAUUCAUCGAAAAAAAAAGAAUCGAAAAGAAAAAGAAAAAAAGAUCCUUAGCAUUUUUUUUAACUAGCAGUCUAAACUUUAAGAUUGCUAAAAACAUCUCGUUCUGUCUCGGUGAACUUUAGCCGCGACUAAGAUAUUCGGUUUACGCAACUUUUAGUUUCGAAAUCGUUCGUCGUAUUCGAGAAUAGAUUCGAGGCUCCGUAUUCCUGUUCACUGCACCAACAAAAGGUCAGUGUAAUCCUUUUCUUCUUCUCUUUUUUAGUUUCGAUUCGAUUUUGAUUUGUAUCUGGGAUUCCUUGUUGGUAUGUGUAAAUGUUUUAGUCUCGAGAUGGUUCUCUGUUAAUGUUGUAUGCCCGCUGUCGUAGAACAAGAAGUUCGCUAUCUUUUGAUUAUGGUUGGUGCCUAUUUAGUAUACUUAGUGUUUUACUCGAAAAUAUGGCUUCCGACCUCUGAUUCAUUAAUAUAGAAAAGCACGAGAAUUUUUAGUCCAACUGCUCUUACGAACAUGAUUUUGCUGCUGUCCACAUCGGAAUAUAGAUUAAUGCUUUCUCUUCGCAUAUUUUAGAAUAGACGUAUUUGUUCGUGAAAACAAUGUUCUGUGUUCUAAGGCAAUGUGUCAGCAACAGGUUUAAGACUCACAUCCACCUUAUGCAUAUUUCAACCAUUACUUCAUUUUGGUUUGAGUAACUAUCUUAGUCUAAAAUGCAUGCUGUUACCUUUUCUUCAUGUCGUAUUAGAACACUGAUUUUGGGAGUGUAUUUUCAUAAAUCGAUUACUAAAUUGAAAAAAAAAAAAACGAAUGACACCGUGACUUAAGAUCUGUACAUGUACUUUAUAGGAAAUCGACGUAUGAAACUCUCUACUUGUAUUAUGCGUAGUUACUGAAAAUUUCCCUUUCCAUGACAGUAGGAAGUACUGGACGUCUGUUUGGUUUCGCUGUUCUAUAGCCAUUAUAGAACAUAUUCUUUGGUUUCAAAUGUAUGUAAAAUGAGGACACUUUUUAAUCAAAUUAAAUGCGCUGCUUAGACAAUGUAUUUUGGGAUAAUUGCUAGCAUGUUUUCCUUGCUUUCUUUCAUUAUACGAAAACAUGUUAAUUUACAGUACAUGGAGGGUUUGAAUGAUGGAGUGAUUUUAUUCUUUUACUUAAUGUGUCUACUACCCUAUCAGCCAUUUAGUUUACAUAUCCAAAAGGGUAAAUAGCUUAGCAACCACAUCCAGCAAGCAGCUAACAUUAAUCAGCAAGGGUAACUAUUCGAACUAGUUAGAGUUUGAUGCCACUUAACUUGACUCUGUCCUGCAAUGUGCAAUCACAGGGCCGUUUCCUUUAUUUUGGUUCGCAUUGCUCCUGCUCUCUUUGAAAUUUUCGAACAUUCCGCUCAGCCCAUAUAUGAUAAAACAGCAGCAGUAAACAUGCUCCCUUAGUUUGCCUCACCGUGACCUGUUUUUUUUUU
This is a long non-coding RNA of Lycium barbarum (goji berry), 8102 nucleotides long. RefSeq lists it as uncharacterized. The record is from RefSeq and is a predicted model, not a curated record. The transcript is spliced from 4 exons. NCBI's taxonomy places the organism in Eukaryota, Viridiplantae, Streptophyta, Magnoliopsida, Solanales, Solanaceae.